Molecule: ribosomal RNA, 386 nt
Filed under: uncultured bacterium
Lineage: Bacteria
Description: bacterial SSU rRNA
Rfam family: Bacterial small subunit ribosomal RNA
Source: RNAcentral
AUUGAACGCUGGCGGCAUGCCUUACACAUGCAAGUCGGACGGCAGCACGGGUGCUUGCACCUGGUGGCGAGUGGCGAACGGGUGAGUAAUAUAUCGGAACGUACCUUAUCGUGGGGGAUAACGCAGCGAAAGCUGCGCUAAUACCGCAUACGCCCUGAGGGGGAAAGCGGGGGGACCGUAAGGCCUCGCGCGAUUAGAGCGGCCGAUAUCUGAUUAGCUAGUAGGUGAGGUAAAGGCUCACCUAGGCGACGAUCCGUAGCGGGUCUGAGAGGAUGAUCCGCCACACUGGGACUGAGACACGGCCCAGACUCCUACGGGAGGCAGCAGUGGGGAAUUUUGGACAAUGGGGGGCAACCCUGAUCCAGCCAUGCCGCGUGAGUGAAGAA